RNAcentral lists this ribosomal RNA (123 nucleotides) under Lepisosteus oculatus (spotted gar). Lineage: Eukaryota; Metazoa; Chordata; Actinopteri; Semionotiformes; Lepisosteidae. The record is from RNAcentral.
GUCAGCAGCCAUGUCAACCUGCAAGCAACGCACAACUGGCAAUGCACUGAAGCUCAGCAGGUGGGAGCCUGGUCAGUACCUUGAUGGGAGACCUCCUGGGAAAAACUAAGGUUGCUGCUGGAA